Molecule: ribosomal RNA, 123 nt
Filed under: Staphylococcus aureus
Lineage: Bacteria; Bacillati; Bacillota; Bacilli; Caryophanales; Staphylococcaceae
Description: partial 16S ribosomal RNA
Rfam family: Bacterial small subunit ribosomal RNA
Source: RNAcentral
UUUAUGGAGAGUUUGAUCCUGGCUCAGGAUGAACGCUGGCGGCGUGCCUAAUACAUGCAAGUCGAGCGAACGGACGAGAAGCUUGCUUCUCUGAUGUUAGCGGCGGACGGGUGAGUAACACGU